GGCUUCCCGGCAUGAAUAGCGAUUAAACGUUUAUAUUCUGGUGCUAAAGCAUGCUGUGAUUUAUCUCCAUCAUCGGUAUCUUCCUCAUCUUCUUCAUCCAAGUCGUCCUGUCAUAUGAGAUAAAACAUAAACUCAAUAAGUUAAUUA
Hibiscus syriacus is the source of this 147-nucleotide long non-coding RNA. RefSeq lists it as uncharacterized. Lineage: Eukaryota; Viridiplantae; Streptophyta; Magnoliopsida; Malvales; Malvaceae. The transcript has 3 exons. The record is from RefSeq and is a predicted model, not a curated record.